RNAcentral lists this ribosomal RNA (539 nucleotides) under Bifidobacterium pseudocatenulatum. RNAcentral describes it as "bacterial SSU rRNA". It matches the Rfam family "Bacterial small subunit ribosomal RNA", at positions 161 to 710 of the family's 1533-position model. The record is from RNAcentral. Lineage: Bacteria; Bacillati; Actinomycetota; Actinomycetes; Bifidobacteriales; Bifidobacteriaceae.
UGGUAAUGCCGGAUGCUCCGACUCCUCGCAUGGGGUGUCGGGAAAGAUUUCAUCGGUAUGGGAUGGGGUCGCGUCCUAUCAGGUAGUCGGCGGGGUAACGGCCCACCGAGCCUACGACGGGUAGCCGGCCUGAGAGGGCGACCGGCCACAUUGGGACUGAGAUACGGCCCAGACUCCUACGGGAGGCAGCAGUGGGGAAUAUUGCACAAUGGGCGCAAGCCUGAUGCAGCGACGCCGCGUGCGGGAUGACGGCCUUCGGGUUGUAAACCGCUUUUGAUCGGGAGCAAGCCUUCGGGUGAGUGUACCUUUCGAAUAAGCACCGGCUAACUACGUGCCAGCAGCCGCGGUAAUACGUAGGGUGCAAGCGUUAUCCGGAAUUAUUGGGCGUAAAGGGCUCGUAGGCGGUUCGUCGCGUCCGGUGUGAAAGUCCAUCGCUUAACGGUGGAUCUGCGCCGGGUACGGGCGGGCUGGAGUGCGGUAGGGGAGACUGGAAUUCCCGGUGUAACGGUGGAAUGUGUAGAUAUCGGAAAAAAAACACC